UCUCCACACACUCUCUCUCUCUAUCUCUCUCUCUCUCUCUCUCUCUCUCUCUCUCAUUCCCCGGAAGCAGAAGCAGGAAUCGAAAGAAAAGCACUUUUCGUUUCUUCUCUCUCUUCCCAUUUUUCAUUUUCUCCAAAGAUUGCUACUUGCUAGUUUUUUAGUGCUAAAUCAUCUCUACUGAGCAGGGGUUUCCGAGCCAAGAGAUGAAGAGGUGACCCGCCCUGCUUUGUAUAAUAUUAAGUUGUAAUCUGAACAUGGAUAAAGUGUCUUCUGACUGUCCAUACCCAGGAUGCUUCUUUUGUGUCAUGAAGGAAGGGAACCCAAGUAAGCGAAGAGCCAGCAUCCUGAAGUUCUUUAGAGAGCUUCCUUCACAGGAUGACGAUGGCCAGGUUCUACCUAUCAGUGGCCUUUGGAACACUGCCAUGGCACAUCCGAAUGACCCUGAGUUCAUUGAGCUUGGUAUCUUUGAAUGUAUGGCUGCAUUGAUAUGGAAGGGUCUAAAGAAUCGUCGCUGGCUUUCUCAUGACCAGAAUAUAUACAUUCCUUAUUAUGCUGCUCAUAUUAUUGGAUCAUACACUAUGAACAUGGAAGAAUUUGCAGCAAGUGCUGUUCAUGCUGGGGUAAUCCCUCCCUUAGUUGAACUUUUGAGAGGAAGGUUAACAUGGGUUGAACAGAGAGUGGCAGUUCGAGCUUUAGGGCACUUGGCUACCUAUGCCAGCACUUUUCCUGCCGUAGCAAGUCAUGGUGAAAUUCUUGAGCUUUCGAUUCAACUAGCAAUGAGCUCACUAGAAAUAGUCUAUUCUCAUUUUUACCAGUAUGUUGACAGAAGGUUAAGCUAUCACUGUGAUCUGCUCACCCGCGGCAUGGGAGGUGUUGAAAUGGAGUCCAGAAAGGCAGAAGAGUGGGCUAGUCAGUUGCAAUGCUGGUCCCUCCAGCUCAUUAACUGCUUUGCCUUUAAACCUGAGUUUCUUCCUACGAUAUGCAAACCUGAAUUCUUAAUGAAACUACCUGGCAUGUGGGGUGGACUUGUUAAUGAAAACUCACCAGCUGGUAUUGGUUUAUUAAGGACAGUUUGCCAUCAUAAGCUGGGUAGAGGACCAGUUGCUGGCUGUCCCAGUAUUAUCGAAUCAUUGUGUAAUAUUUCUCGGUCAUCAGAUGAUUGGCAGUAUAUGACUAUUGAUUGCCUUCUUUGGUUACUCCAAGACCCGAGUACAUGUCAUAAGGUGGUUGAUAAGGCUGUACCUGCACUUGUUGACCUUGCGGAGAUUACAACUCUGGGUGAUCACAAGAAGCUAGGAGAUUCCAUUGUUAAUGUUCUUGAGGAAUGUGUCCAGUCACAAGGGACAGGAAGAAACUCUUUUAGUAACCGAACGAAAGAAUUGAUAGAGGAACUGUUGAGUUCCAGACAGAGAUUGAAAUGGGAAAAGAAUAUGCCUAAAGAGGAUCUCCAUAUUAAACAGGCUGCAGCGCUAGUGGUCAAGCUUGAAGGAAAUUCCCUAUUCUCAUCAGGAAAUAUAUCUGGUGCCGCAUCUAAAUACUCAGAAGCUCUGGCAUUGUGUCCAAUGAGAUCCAAAAAGGAGAGAGUUGUUCUGUACAGUAACCGAGCUCAGUGUCAUCUUCUGUUGCAGCAGCCCUUGGCAGCUAUUAGCGAUGCUACUCGUGCACUUUGUCUUCACAACCCACUGAACCGUCAUGCCAAAAGUCUUUGGAGAAGAGCGCAGGCUUAUGACAUGCUUGGCUUUGCAAAAGAGAGUUUGCUAGAUGCCAUUCUGUUCAUAAACGAAUGCUCUCAGUCAAAUGAUCCUGAUCUCUCAUUAAGGCAAAAUAAGGUUCCAGAUUAUGCUGAACGAUUGGUUAAAAAGCAGAUGCGUGCAGCGUGGUUAUUUAGAGAGGCAGCUAUUAAACAUGGGGGCGUCCAUUGUGAGGGUGAUGCUGGUGAUAUCUAUGGCCGAGAGACUGAUGAUUCCGAAUGGGAGACGGCAAGUGAGAGCGAUAUAGGAAAUGAUGGAAGAGAUGAAAUGGGAAAUGAUGAUGACGACGACGACAAUGAUAGUGAAUGGAAGAAUGAUGAUGAGAGGAAAGAGAAAUAUGAUAAAUCUUCAAUUAAAGGUGAAAGGGAACUGCCCAGAAUGUCAAAGUUCACUGUGAAAUAGAUUUAUUUAUUUUUCUUUUUUUUACACAUCUUUCUAAGACUUCAUAGAUAUUUGAUAAAGUUUAAUCUUUGAUAUUAUAUUGUUAUAGAAUUUAAUACCAUUACAUAUCAAUAGUUGUAAACUUAUCCAAUUCAUAUCGGCCCACAUGGUGAAUACAAAACAAAGUUUCCAGGCUCCACCCCUGCUUGGUGACCUAAAGCAUGGAUACAAUGUGCAGCUUGCGGACGAUGAGCCAUGAAUUUGGAUGCAGUGCUGCGGACAAUGAGCCAUGAAUUUGGAUGCAGUGACCACCGUUCAUACCAGAGCACGAUGCAAGGACAAUGACAUAAUGGAGCCAUAAAUGAUGCUUUGAUCCAAGUGAUUUUAUUUUCAGCACCCCUAGCCUUCCAAAAAUUUCAACCGUAAUUUUCGUGAGGGAUUUGUCUUGCAACAAUGUUGAAGGAAACAUGUUUUGGUCAAUUUGUGUCAAAUAUUUAAGGUUGUUUAUGUGUUUAUUUUAUUGUUACUCUCAAAUUUUAUAGUAAAAUUUGUAAUUGUAGAAAAUAUGCUAUUUUUGAGUCUAGAAAGGAGGUGAGAUUAGCAAAUGUGGAUCUUUGAGUGAUUUAAGAGGUUUUUGUAUAUACAACUUUUGGGGGGUUUUUGUAUUGACUUUGAAUGGCAAUUGUGGUUUUCUUGUGCUCUCGUUA
Molecule: RNA transcript, 2839 nt
Organism: Pyrus x bretschneideri (Chinese white pear)
Lineage: Eukaryota; Viridiplantae; Streptophyta; Magnoliopsida; Rosales; Rosaceae
Exons: 5
Source: RefSeq, a predicted model, not a curated record